UGGGGAAUUUUGGACAAUGGGCGAAAGCCUGAUCCAGCAAUGCCGCGUGUGUGAAGAAGGCCUUCGGGUUGUAAAGCACUUUUGUCCGGAAAGAAAUCCUUGGCUCUAAUACAGUCGGGGGAUGACGGUACCGGAAGAAUAAGCACCGGCUAACUACGUGCCAGCAGCCGCGGUAAUACGUAGGGUGCAAGCGUUAAUCGGAAUUACUGGGCGUAAAGCGUGCGCAGGCGGUUUGCUAAGGCCGAUGUGAAAUCCCCGGGCUCAACCUGGGAACUGCAUUGGUGACUGGCAGGCUAGAGUAUGGCAGAGGGGGGUAGAAUUCCACGUGUAGCAGUGAAAUGCGUAGAGAUGUGGAGGAAUACCGAUGGCGAAGGCAGCCCCCUGGGCCAAUACUGACGCUCAUGCACGAAAGCGUGGGGAGCAAACAGGAUUAGAUACCCUGGUAGUCCACGCCCUAAACGAUGUCAACUAGUUGUUGGGGAUUCAUUUCCUUAGUAACGUAGCUAACGCGUGAAGUUGACCGCCUGGGGAGUACGGUCGCAAGAUUAAAACUCAAAGGAAUUGACGGGGUCAUAGCUGUUUCCU
This 585-nucleotide ribosomal RNA is filed under the name uncultured bacterium. RNAcentral's name for it is "partial 16S ribosomal RNA". It matches the Rfam family "Bacterial small subunit ribosomal RNA", at positions 355 to 1375 of the family's 1533-position model. The record is from RNAcentral.